This 611-nucleotide long non-coding RNA is filed under the name Bemisia tabaci. RNAcentral describes it as "lncRNA ENSSSA1UGG009690". The record is from RNAcentral. Lineage: Eukaryota; Metazoa; Arthropoda; Insecta; Hemiptera; Aleyrodidae.
UUGUAAAGUUGCGUUCGGCAACAAUCGGCAUUUUCCGGACGUAAACAAAAGUUCGACCAAAUGCGUGCGGAGCAUGUGUGUUCAUGUUCAUGCAAUAUCAGUAUCUUUUUUCAGUAGUUUUUCAUUAAUUUUCAAGUUCUCAUCUCAUUUCAAGCAUUCUUAUUCUGCCAGCCUUGCAGUUUUGAUUUUGAGAAAGUAUUUUGCUCUUGGUAACUUCGGACUUCUCUGUUAUCAAGAAGUGUCACUUCGGAUUUUUUCUACACUUCCAAUUACUUCGGUGUCUGGUCAAUUCAGUCAUUUUUCCCGGUAGUAAUCAAAGAUUUUCAUUAUUGAAAUCUCUCUCCAAGGAAUGGUUCUCAGCUUAUCCAUUAAUGGCAGCAAUCUACUUGAUGAUCUCAUCCCUGGGAACGACAUGUAAGCACGGAGCAAACCUCUGGAUGUUUCAAGGGAUUUUCAGCCUACUGUCACGUCACUUAUCAUUCUCAAAAGUAACUAAGCGGGGAUCCAUGUCAUUUGCUUCAAGGUUACAUAAGUGUUGGGAAACAGGCAAUGAAGACCAUGGCAGGACCUCGAAGAGUUAUCACUAUGUUGAAAUGUACACACUGUCAUAG